Molecule: ribosomal RNA, 1325 nt
Filed under: Triticum aestivum (bread wheat)
Lineage: Eukaryota; Viridiplantae; Streptophyta; Magnoliopsida; Poales; Poaceae
Description: partial small subunit ribosomal RNA
Source: RNAcentral
CGGCACAUCCCCUGCUUGAGGGGUUCCGGUUUUUCUUUCUUUAGCAGCAGCCUUCUCCUGUCCUCCCCCUUCUUUAGGCUCCCCCCUCCUCUUCCCCUCUUCGAACCGCCGCCCUCCCGCCGCCGCUACCUGCCGCUCACCACCUCCUUCUUCACCCACCGCACCCGCCGCCGCCGCCGGUAGAAGCACCACGAGUACGAGCAGUGCGGGCGGUAGGGCGUCCUGCUCCUGAUGGUGCUGAAGCGGCUGGUCGCGCUGGAGAAGGAGCCCUAGGGAUUGUGUAACUUACACGAGAGUUUAUAGGGAAAGGAGAAACAACCAGAGCGACCCGAGUAGGACACGGUGAUGUUUUUGAUGAAGUCCGAUACGAGUGUCCCCCUCGAGACCUCAACCUGUGAGAAGAUACGACCACAGUGACGACAGCCACAACCAAGUAGGAUGAUGGUAGAGAUGGGCUUGCUACGGUGGAAUCAAACCCUGUCUAACGGAUACUGCUAACGAAAGUGCAGAUAGCACCGGUAAAAGUAGUAACUUUCCCAACUACUAUCCCGUCCUUGUUUCAGGGAACGUGGGGAACAAUAACGACCACGUGACUCGUAGGACAUGACCUCAAAGAAACUACUGGAAGCCGGUAUACGCCAUUAGGUCAAACAAGGUACGUAACAUUAUGGACACUACCGAUAUCAAUAAGGUGGUUACAUAUGUGUAAGUUCGAUGACCAACACCCGUCGUCCUAAAAUGGAAGAACGGUUUCAUCUUCUCCGUCGCCUGUUUGGAUAUAUAUCCACCUGUGUACUGUAACAAUCGCCUGUAUGAGAAUUUGUAGAUACACGACGCUACCAAGGACAAAAGAACUGAGAGUACAACCGUUUCUCCUGUUAACUUGGACUGUCCCAUUCGAAUGAGGUCUACACCUUCUAGUCAACCUCUCUUGCGCCAAGGGUUCUACCGUUGUGACAUCUGCAGUUUAUACUAAUACGACGUCAAAGUUGAUGCAGACUUGUUGUCAUCUAUACACAAAAAGUAUACAUGAGAUGAGGGCUUCACAUUUUUAUCGUAGCUAGUCUUAUAGUCCUCGGGGUCGAACGUGCCAACACAUAGUAACGGACGAUUAGCUGCAAGUAUACACCAACAAGGACUAGUUUUGAAGGACUAGUAUAGAACAUGUCCUUCCUUUUUACAUAUAGCCAAGGGAGUAGUUGAGAAACACGAGAUCAAAAACCCUUGGAGGUUGUCGGAUAUGGAGGAGGACGUGGACCUUUCUGGCAUCGGAUACAUUGACCUGCCCCUAGAUAACUCUGACGUAGACGAAGCCAACAACGACG